Molecule: ribosomal RNA, 561 nt
Filed under: uncultured bacterium
Lineage: Bacteria
Description: partial 16S ribosomal RNA
Rfam family: Bacterial small subunit ribosomal RNA
Source: RNAcentral
UGGGGAAUUUUGGACAAUGGGCGAAAGCCUGAUCCAGCAAUGCCGCGUGUGUGAAGAAGGCCUUCGGGUUGUAAAGCACUUUUGUCCGGAAAGAAAUCCUUGGCUCUAAUACAGUCGGGGGAUGACGGUACCGGAAGAAUAAGCACCGGCUAACUACGUGCCAGCAGCCGCGGUAAUACGUAGGGUGCAAGCGUUAAUCGGAAUUACUGGGCGUAAAGCGUGCGCAGGCGGUUUGCUAAGACCGAUGUGAAAUCCCCGGGCUCAACCUGGGAACUGCAUUGGUGACUGGCAGGCUAGAGUAUGGCAGAGGGGGGUAGAAUUCCACGUGUAGCAGUGAAAUGCGUAGAGAUGUGGAGGAAUACCGAUGGCGAAGGCAGCCCCCUGGGCCAAUACUGACGCUCAUGCACGAAAGCGUGGGGAGCAAACAGGAUUAGAUACCCUGGUAGUCCACGCCCUAAACGAUGUCAACUAGUUGUUGGGGAUUCAUUUCCUUAGUAACGUAGCUAACGCGUGAAGUUGACCGCCUGGGGAGUACGGUCGCAAGAUUAAAACUCAAAGGAA